CCGGCUGAUCAGCGUCGGUUCUGCGGGGGGCCGAGGGGGCGUCUGGUUCCCCGUCUCACUUCUGGGCACCCUUUGGGGGCUGGAGCGGGUACGGCCGUGGUGCAGCGGGGCUCCGGCGAGGAGGCGCCCCUCUUGCGUCUCCGGGCUCCCCUUCCCGCCGUCCCAGUCCUCGUCCAGCCCUGGGCGGAAAUGUGGCCUCGUGAUGGGGGUCCUCGUUCCCUCUCACCGGCGAGGUGCUUGUAGGAUCCGUGCCCACUGCUGUCUCUUUCGGGGCACAGAGGAUCCUGAUGGGCCGACCCCGAGGGCAGGUGCCCCCUCCUUCCAGUUUCACGUGGUGGGUGGAAAGCCGGGCUCUCGCGGAGGGGAGGGUGCGGUUAGCCAGGACGGAGCUGUGUGUCACCGAGUCGAGGCGUUCCCCGCCCCGGGGCCGAGGUCCCGAGGCCGCAGCUCUCCACGCGCGGGGGCGAGGUCCUGUCGUUGGAAGGGGGGCCCCGCGUGCUGGUCUUCAGAACCAGAGUGAGAGGCGGGCCCUGCCCCCGCCUGCUGUGAAUGUAUAAACACUGGUGUCUCGGACUUCGUGGCCUCACAGGCGGUUUGGGCACAAGUUUUGCGCUUAGAUCGCAAGCCUAUUAAUGAUGUGGUUCUCACUGAGACCAAGGGACCUGAAGGCAGUGGAGGAGGGGGUCUGAGAGAGGUUUGCAGGCGCCCCUGCUCCUGGUGGACCCUCAAAAGCCUAGUGUCACCUAACCCUAGAGGUAGAGGAGCCGGGCUAAAGGUGGCAGCAGAGGCACCUUUACACUAGUGUCUCCGAAGCACCAAUACGUGCAGUCUCCAGCCAGGUAACUGAGUUUCAGGGAUAAAGAGAUGAUCCUUGCCCUCAACAGCCCCAGCCUUACAGGAGUGGCAUUCUGCAUGGUGUCUCCCAGCCGAGGGGACACUGUUGCCAAGUGCAGUGAAGACCCCCCAGACCUCAGCAGCACAUUCAGGUCUCAGUAGGUUCAUGGGCCACCACCCUCCAUUGAGCCGAGUCUGGACUUAGAGCCCUGUUGUUAGGUCUGGUGCCCAGAGAGCCCCAUGCAUAUGGGGCCAAGAGCUUUAGUUGCUCUUGUAUUGGUUCUUGGUUUUCAUCUCAGGUUCUUAGUAAAGCUAGGCCCAACCUCAAACUCCAGUCUGGGUGCCUGGGGCUGUGACCACUCCCCUAGUUCUACCUGAGUUCCACUUGCCCAGCCAAGCUGCCUCCUAUUCCUGUUCCUACACCCUCACCUCAGCCCAGGCGAGCUUCCCUCGUUUCCAGUUCUGCCUUCCCACCUGAUGCUGAGAACCACCUGCCCCAGAAGCCACCUCCAGGUAGAGCCCUUGGAUAGGAUGGUCUAAAUCUGAAUCAAGUUUAUUGUUAUGGAUUGAAUUUUGUCCCCCCAAAAUGUAUGUCAACUUGGCUAGGUCAUGAUUCCCAGUGUUGUGUGAUUGUUCACCAUUUUGUUAUCUGACGUGAUUUUCCUAGGUGUUGUAAAUCCUACCCAUGUGAUGUUAAUGAGAUGGGAUAGGUGGUACUUAUGUUAAUGAGGCAAGACUCAAUCUACAAGAUUACUUUGUUUCUUGAGUUUGUCUCUUCUGAGAUACACAGGAGAGAAGCAAGCAGAGAAAUGGGGACCUCAUACCACCGAGAAAGAAGAGCCAGGAGAAUAGCACGUUCUUUGGACCCAGGGUCUCUGGGUUGAGACCCUUCUAGACUAGGGGAAGAUUGAUGACAAGGACCUUCUUCCAGAGCCAAAAGAGAAAGAAAGCCUUCCCCUGGAGCUGGGGCCCUGAAUUCAGACUUCUAGCCUGCUUAACUAUGUUUAGUUCCAGGGCUUCAGCUACAAACUCAAGGAGUGAGCUGGGUUAAAAGCCAGACGUUUCUAAAGAAGUCGUGUGUUUCUGAAGAAGUCGUGUUACAAAGAAAGACAUUUGUAAGACCGAGGAACUUUGGCACGGCACCUCCCAGCAGAGCAGGGCAGCAGGUCCUUUACCUUCAUUGGCUUCCUUGGGGUCCUUCCUCUCCUGGGAGCCAAGAAAGACGGAAGAGCCCACAGGCAAGAUAAAGAAGAUGCAGACUCUAAAGGAAAAAGCUGAUGUGCCAAAGGACACACUUUUCAGAAGAGAAAGUGUCAGGGGAAAAAAGCCAAGUGAAAGCUGCACUCUGGCUGGAAAGCAGAGUGAGGAGCCAGGCCUGAGCCCGGAAGAUGAGGAGCGCUUGUUUGAUGCGUUUAACGUCUCCUUUAAGGAUGACUUUGAGGGGGUCCCCAUGUUCGUUCCUUUUCAGAGGAAGAAGCCCUACGGAUGUGGCAAAUGUGGGUACGUCUCCAGGCACGAUACGGACCACAUCCAGCACCAGUGUGUCCGCACCGGUGAGAAGCCCUUCCCGUGCAGCCAGUGCAGGAAGACCUUCUGGCACAGCUCAGACGUCACCAAGCACUGGCACGUGCACGGGGGAGAAGCCCUUCAGGUGUGACAAGCGCAGGAAGGCCUUUGCCUACAGCUUGUGCCUGAUCGGACACCGGAAGUGCCACCUGCAGAAGAGGCACUGAGCAAGGGGCACAGCCAAGAGCCUAAUGUUGAUGCGAGUUAGGGUCUGUGCCAAGAAGCCUAGGAGGAGUGCCUCCACCCACAGCUCACUUCUCCUCCGCCAUCCAGUUGGUACCAAUACCAGUCCAGGUGAAAUGCAUGUCUGCAGGAGCAUCACCCCUGUCAGACGUGAGGAUACCUGAACGUGGCCGUGUCUGUGGGGUUGUCAUGCCUGUCAGACGUGAGGAUGCCUGCGUGUGGCAGAGACCUUCCUAGGGCUGUGAACCUGGGCCCUGGGGUGCAGUGUGAGCCCCUCCUGGCUGUGGCCAUACUCUGGGUCCCUGGAUGCUGCUCCUCGCUCAGCACUGGCUGAGUGGAUGAACUGCUGCUCCUUGGAAGGUUCCAGAAGACCCAGAACAUCCCAACAGCAGAAGCUUGUGGGACGAGCGUUCAUGUCUCCUGCAUCCGCCAGCGCUGGUGUGUGCUCCGUCCUCACGCCCCACCUGCACCUCCAAGCUUCUGCAGACUCGGCCCCUGGCGCUGCACCCAGCCCGCAGCCUGGUACCCAUGAUGCUGCACCCAGCCACAGCCUGGCACCCAUGGUGCUGCCCCCAGCUUGCAGCCUGGCACCUGUGGUGCUGCCCCCAGCCCUCAGCCUGGCAGCAUGUCCUGCCCCACAGUGCUCGUGGCUCCUGGGAGGCCUGUGACCCCAUGCCAGACCACAGUGCUCCAGGUGUCUAGGGCUGGCUCAGGACUGCUGAGGUUGGUGCUCCAGCUCCCUCCUCUUUGGGGGCCGAGUCAGCUCAUGACAGGGCAGAUGGGGUUGGAACUAGUGAUGUUUUACGUGACCACGUGAUCACAUACACGCUUUGGUCUCUGCAUGUUUGACGUACUUCCCAGUUUCAUGAGUUAUGUUUUAAUUACAGGAGCGUCCUGCCUGCUCCUGUUGCCCUGUGGUCUGGGGCCCACAGCUGAGCUCCCCAGCAGUGGCCACAGCCCACCCAUCUGCUGUGCUCCCCUGCGGCCCCUCAUCCCUGCUUCCUCUGGCAAGCACCAGCCUCAGCCUAAUAACCACUCUUUUGCUUUAGUGGCCAGCUUUCCCCUAACAAAGGGCUUGGUAGUGGUCACGCUUCUUUCUCUAGAAGGUGCGUGUCCUCUUUUUCAGGUUGUUAGAGCAGACCACCCCCAAAACACAAAGUUCCUGCUGAAAUGCACACAAGAAGGAGCUUUUAAAACUGACAAGGAAAACUCCCCCUUCCUGAGUUCAAAGGGGGAACAGAGAUUAAGGGAAAAAUCCCUCCAGAAGGAGAAAGGAAAUCCAGCUGGCUGGAACCAGCACCCGUGGGCAAGCUCUUCCCACAUUAGGGAGUAGGGCCUGUCAUGGAUUGAAUUAUGUCCCCCCAAAAAUAUGUGUCAACUUGCUUAGGCCGUGAUUCCCAGUAUUGUGUGGUUGUCCUCCAUUUUGUGAUUGUAAUUUUAUGUAGAGAGGAUUAGGGUGGGAUUAUAACACCACCCUCACUCAGGUCACCUCCCUGAUCCAAGGUAAAGGGAAUUUCUCUGGGGUGUGGCAGGCACCACCUUUUAUCUCUUAAGAGAGAAAAGGAAAGAGAAGCAAGCAGAGAGUUGGGGACCUCAUACCACCAAGAAAGCAGCACCAGGAGCAGAGUGUGUCCUUUGGACAUGGAGAAGCUUCUGUGCCUGAAAAGCUCCUCGUCCAGGGAGGGAUUGAGGACAAGGACCUUCCUCCAGAGCCAACAGAGAAAGAAAGCCUUCUCUUGGAGCUGACACCCAGAAUUUGGACUUGUAACCUACUAGACUGUGAGAAAAUAAAUUUCUCUUUCUUAAAGCCA
This is an RNA transcript of Loxodonta africana (African savanna elephant), 4394 nucleotides long. RefSeq lists it as uncharacterized. The transcript has 2 exons. NCBI's taxonomy places the organism in Eukaryota, Metazoa, Chordata, Mammalia, Proboscidea, Elephantidae. The record is from RefSeq and is a predicted model, not a curated record.